Molecule: ribosomal RNA, 300 nt
Filed under: Triticum aestivum (bread wheat)
Lineage: Eukaryota; Viridiplantae; Streptophyta; Magnoliopsida; Poales; Poaceae
Description: partial small subunit ribosomal RNA
Source: RNAcentral
AUGGAGGAGGCUGUUAUGGAACUCACCGAGUCAUCCGCUGAUGGUGAAUUAUUGGAUCUGACUACAGUGAGAUGCUGGCCUCCUCAUUGUUCUUGCUGGUCUCCUCAUUGUUCUUCCUGUCAAACUACUAUUAAAUUGCUUGCGGUCAUCGUGCUCCUCGCCGGACUGGUUGCGCUGGUAGUUGUUGUUGCUACCGUCGCUCGCGUCGGUGUACUGGUCACGCUGGUAGUUAUUGUUGUUGCUACUGCCGUCGUGCGGCUCGCCGGACCGCGACUGGUGGUGGUUCUGCACUGCGUUUGA